CUUAACGUAGUUUCUGCACGUGUGUUAUAUUUCUUGUUCAGCUACGGUUUGAUAUUUAGUAACAACAAAUAGCCAGCAUCUCAUUGGUUUUAAUUUAAGACUUGCAUUUUGUAGAUGUUACUUCCUUGCACGGCCCCUCCAUUGGUGCGUCCUACCGGUUGCGAUCAAGCCUAUCACUUAAAUCUUUAUCCAUCCGUGCUAGUUUGUCAAUACUUUUGUUAUAUCAUGGCUUUAUUUUAAUGUCGAUUAGUUAAUCGUCGUUAAGAUCAUUGUAUUUUAAGUAUAGCAAUUGUAAAAUGUCUGUUUUUUUCUCUAUGCCGUGAUCUCUCAAUGAUGAUAAUUUCACAGACCUGUACUGAAACACUGUGAUUGUACAUUUUAUUUAUCUGAUGAGAGAUUGCACGUUUUUACUUAAUUCAUGAAAGUAAAAGUUGGCGAGUUGCACGUGUUCUGGAAGCGUCACGUGGAAUUGCUUGACCUAACCGAGAUUUUCUCUUUUGCAGCCAUGCGGUCCAAAAUGAGUUUGCAGCUUAUUGGGUGGAAAGGUUCACUUGGUUCUAGUGCACUGAAGCUAAAGCUUUUUAUUAUAAUGGGUGUCUACACGUGAUGUUGGGGUGUGAAGUGUGCCUAGUGCCUGGAUUCUGUUGGUGCUUUUGGGUGUUUAUUGGAGUGCAGUCACUGACUUAGUGGUGGUGCCUGCACAAAAUGACCAUUAAUGGAUGGGCUGCUCGUGUCAAAGGAUUGGCCAUCGUGUGAUUGGUCAUGGGUUGAAUACUCCUAGUACUUUCAGGUAUUGUGCCUGAUAUCUGCACAGGUGAGUUUAGACAUCUGCUAUAUAAAAUGCUUUGCAGCUAGUCCUUUAAUGAUGCAACUUGCACACGUCUUACGCCCUGUGUCAGCACCAGAACCUGAAAAGGUGAACCCACUGGCGUUGCCUGGGCAAGAAGGGGAUGACUUGUUGGGGUUACCAACAGUCUGAGAAGGACUAGCUUUAGUAAUAGGCUAAAUUUGACUUUAUCCCCACAAUUCUUUAAUAUCUAUCUUCCUGCUCUCUCUAGUUGUGCAGAAGAUGAGUUCUCCAGGAAUGGCUGCGGCUUUUGACUUGGGUGAAUCCAUGGCUCGCAUGUGUUGUGGUGCUGUGUAGGAGUUUCUAAGGUGACCAUGCCUUGCGACUUGCUGUCCAGAUUGUAAUUUAAGAUUUGCCCCAGACGUCAACUGAUUCUGAAGUUUGACAGGCAGAAAUUGAACUCGUUAUGGUCCUAAUGAAGUUACUGAAGAUUCCAGAGUUGGCAAUUGUGGUAACGUUCACUGUACCUUUAUGCCACUUAAUGCAUUCAGAUGUUUCUAUUAGACCUCAUUGCUACAGGCAAAUAAAAUUACAAUUAAACAAGUCUAGUUUGUUUGACCCAUUCUUCAAAUGUUUUCUAAAUGGCUUUGAAUUAAAGUAUGGUACUUUGAAAGGAUGUCAUCUUUAACAAGUCAGUUUGUGAAAUUGUCAUUUAUAAAUAAAAUGCUUAACUGUAAGUGGUAAAAUCGGCCAAUGUUAUGGUCUCUUGGAUGAGAAAAGUCUUAAUGCUUCAUACAAAUACCUUUUUGGUAACAAUUUCUGUUUUGAAGUUGGGACCUUGUCUGUGUAUGUUUUUGGAAGUGUUAAACAAUAAAUGGCUGCUUCCUA
Long non-coding RNA from Paramisgurnus dabryanus, 1675 nucleotides. RefSeq lists it as uncharacterized. The record is from RefSeq and is a predicted model, not a curated record. Lineage: Eukaryota; Metazoa; Chordata; Actinopteri; Cypriniformes; Cobitidae.